This is an RNA transcript of Pyrgilauda ruficollis (rufous-necked snowfinch), 3439 nucleotides long. It is a transcript of the gene named PPARGC1 and ESRR induced regulator, muscle 1, with no coding region annotated. The record is from RefSeq and is a predicted model, not a curated record. The transcript is spliced from 5 exons. NCBI's taxonomy places the organism in Eukaryota, Metazoa, Chordata, Aves, Passeriformes, Passeridae.
CGGGGAGGGAGGGGGGGUUUAUUUUUAGCCCCUGAAUGGAUCAGAGCUGGAGCCGGGCUCUCUGCCCCCGGCCGGGCCACGGCAUCAUGUUGUGCUGGGAGGGCUCUCCUGCCAGGCUGCUCGAAUGGCUCCGUCCCCGCCGGGGGCUGGGGGACAGGCAUGGAUAACUUCGAGUACAGCAUCCAGCUGAACGACCGGGAAUGGGCUGAGUUCUUCCAGGCUUCCGAGGAGUGCAGCCUGGCGCCGGCCUCGCUGGCCACGGCCGAGGAGCAGUGCCUCAGUGACAUUGAGCAAGGGGACACCUCGGGACGGGACUGUCCCCGCAGCACCGACGGGGUGACAGCAGCCGGGCCGGGCAGCGAGCCAGCAGCGCCUGGCACGGCCAGCCCUGUGCCACGUGGGGUGCCCGGUGACACCGCCCUGCGCUGCCCGGAGCGUGGGCACCUCUCCGGGCCGGAGCUGCUGUCGGGCAGCGAGGACGAAGCGGAGCCGCGCUCCGUGGGCAGGUUCCUGUGCGACAGCGACAAGCCCAGCUGCCUGGCACCCGCUGCCAUGCCCAGCGCCCAGAGGAGGCAGCCACCGCGGCCACCCGCGGCCGCCCCGGCCGGUGGCACAGCCCAGGGUGGCCCCGGGCAGGACACGGUGGUGACAGCGGCCGGAGGCAGCCCUGCCAUGGAGCAGGGCGGGGAUGCAGGAGGGGGACAAGCCCUGCUGGCACAGCCGGGAGCGGUGGCACCGCCAGAAGCUCCGGCAGCCUCUGCCUCGGCCGAGGGACCGGCCGAGAAAAGCGCUGUCCCCUCGGAGCCCGGGCUGCGGGGACCCGCGGGGGACACCCCGAGCCCGUCCCUGGGGAUGGGAGCCAGGGUGGCAGCGGAGGAGGAGAAGGCGGGCACGGAGCCGAGCUCGCCGGGCGGAUCCCCCAGCGUGGUGAGGCCCAAGGUGCCGGCACAGCCGAAGAGGAGCCGCAAGCAGCGCGGAGCCAGCGGCACCGAGGGGGACAGGGACCCUGCGGCGGCACCGGGCGCCACCGGGGCCGGCAAGGCACCGCCCGGCUCCCCGAUGUCCCCUCGGAAGGGCAGAGGGAAGGACAAGGCGGCCAAGGGAGCGCUGGUGAGGCUGGGCAGCGAGGAGGCUGCGGAGAACAAGCGGGCGGUGCCCGGCCCUGGCGCGGAUGGCGGCGAUGCCCAGAGUGCUCCCCCGAAGUCCCCGGGGAAGACAAAGGCCACCAAGCCCCCAAAGGCAGGGCAGGCCGGUGGCUUGGGCGUACGUGACAGUGUCCCCGUGGUCCCUGGCGAGGGCACCGCGCCUCCUCCAGGAGAGGAGAGCCAGGAGAUGCCAGGGAAGCCUCUCCAGCCCGGGAGCGCGGCAGCGUUUGGAGGGAAUGCUGCUGAGGGGGCUGGGGGGGAGCCUGCUGCUGCUGAAAUUCCCAGGAAACCCUCGGAGAUCCCUGGAAUUCCUGCUGCUGAGACCCCUGGAGUUCCUGCUGCUGAGAUUCCCAGGAAGCCCUCAGAGACCCCUGGAGUUCCUGCUGCUGAGAUCCCUGCAGUUCCUGCUGCUGAGAUUCCCAGGAAACCCUCGGAGAUCCCUGCAGUUCCUGCUGCUGAGAUCCCUGGAAUUCCUGCAGCUGAGAUCCCCAGGAAGUCUGCAGCUGAGAUUCCCAGGAAACCCUCAGAGAUCCCUGAGGUUCCUGCAGCUGGGAUCCCUUGGGAGCCUGCAGCUGUGAUUCCCAGGAAACCUGUACCUGAAAUCCCUUGGGAGACUGCAGCUGGGAUCCCCAGGAGUCCUGCAGUGGGGAUCCCCUGGGAGCCUGCAGCUGAGAUCCCCAGGAGUCCUGCAGCUGAGAUCCCCAGGAUUCCUGCAGCAGGGAUCCCCAGGAUUCCUACCAUUGAGAUCCCCAGGAGUCCUGCCAUUGAGAUCCCCAGGAUCCCUGCAGCUGAGCUCCCCAGGAUCCCUGCCAUUGAGAUCCCGUGCGAGCCUGCAGCUGGGAUCCCCACGAUUCCUGGGGGUGGGAUCCCUUGGGAAGCUGCAGCUGAGCUCCCCAGGGCUGUGAGCCCCCUGUGCUUUGCUGACGGGGCCUCUGGCAAGCCCAACUCCCUGGAUGUGACCUGGCCCGAGAUGUACGAGUACCUGUUCUGUGAUUCCCAGGAGGAGGAGGAGCUGGGCAGCUCCCUGGAGGGGCGCAGAUCACCCUUGCAGGGGGAAAUCUCCUGGCCUGAACUGUAUGAGUAUUUUUUCAUCGAGCCAGAAGGAAGCAGGAAAAAAGGCAAAGCUAAAGACAGGAAAAGAAAGAAGUUCAGAGGUUUGGACCGCCCUGGGCUGCACAAGGAGGCUCCCAGCUCUGCUCCAGACAAGGACACCGUGGUUAUCUCAGUCCCUGAUGUGUAUGAACACUUCUUCCCAGAGCCAGCCCCCAACAGGAUGGGCUGGAGAGGGAUUUUCUCCAUGGCUUCGGCCUCCGAGGUGAAGAAAGCUGUGGGGGCUUUGAGGUCCCUGCUGCAGAGGCAGGGGCAGCUGGGAGGAGGCCAAGCCUCAACCUCCCAGGCCCUGGUGCCCAGAAGAUCCGGGGAGGAGCUCGCCCUGGUCCCGCUGGGAGGAGCCCAGGUGUGGCCAGAAGAUGCAGACGGGGCCCUGGCACUGAGAGGAGCAGCAGAGGAGCCCCGGGUGCUGAGCCACAAGGACAUGUGCCUCGUCUUCUGCGCCUUCGCCUCCUGGGCCGUGAAGACAUCUGACCUGCAGGCUCCGGAUGCCUGGAAGACCAUGUUCCUGGCAAGCUUUGGCACCCUCUCGGCCAUCCGCUACUUCCGAAGGCAGGUCAGGGAAGGGCACCCCCGGACUUAACCCCUGCCACGCCGGAGCCGCUGCCCGGGGCCGGGACUUUGUUCUGGACAGUGGGAGAAGCCUGGAGGCAGCACCGAGAGCUUCCCCGGCCCCAUCCCGGACGGGACAGGGUGGCACAGGGAGCGGGAGCCUCCCGGGGACGGGAACUGACGGUAGGACAGGACAGGGGCUGGCAGUGCCCGCCGGCUGCUGCGCUGGAGUCACCUGGUGGCACCGAGGAAGCAGGGAGGUUCUUCAUCCCGACAAAAGAGCCGGGAUAUCUGUGAAGAAGGAAAAGAGAGCUUUGGGAAGAGCCUGGCUGGGCCUGGGCUGGGCAGCAGCUCCGGGGGAUGCAGGGGUCGCUGCCUCGGAUCCUGUGACCCAUUUGAGCACUCCAGCAGGGCUCAUCCUCUUGGAUUUCACUCCGGGAGGGCUCAUCCUCUUGGAUUGCACUCCAGCAGGGCUCAUCCUCUUGGAUUUCACUCCACAAGUCCCAGCUCGGGGAUAAGGUUUCUGCCGCACGUGGAUGGGUCCGUCCCUGGGGACAGCGGGGCAGGGACGUGUCCCCGUCCCCAGGAGAGGACGGGCAGGAGAGGACGGGCAGGGGUCAAGGGGUCACACG